This 75-nucleotide transfer RNA is filed under the name Sphingobacteriaceae bacterium. RNAcentral's name for it is "tRNA-Arg". It matches the Rfam family "tRNA". Rfam says of the family: Transfer RNA (tRNA) molecules are approximately 80 nucleotides in length. Lineage: Bacteria; Pseudomonadati; Bacteroidota; Sphingobacteriia; Sphingobacteriales; Sphingobacteriaceae. The record is from RNAcentral.
GGCACCGUAGUUCAAUGGAUAGAAUAAGCGUUUCCUAAACGUUUGAUGUAGGUUCGAUUCCUACCGGAGCCACAA